Molecule: small RNA, 571 nt
Filed under: Pongo abelii (Sumatran orangutan)
Lineage: Eukaryota; Metazoa; Chordata; Mammalia; Primates; Hominidae
Description: retained intron
Source: RNAcentral
GUCCUUUUGAGAAAAUUCCUAGGACCUCUGCUCUGGAGAUAGCACUUGCCCAAUCUUAUAGGCCCACUGGGUCUAGUUUCUUUGGACUGAGACACCUGAGGGCUUCUCAGUCUGGAGGAGAGGAGCUGGGGGCUGAUAAUCUAAGUCCAUAAUGGAGGCUCCACCCCUUCCCGCUGCUUCUGUAUCUUGCAGGAACCUAGGGAAGUCUGGUCUUCGGGUAUCCUGUCUUGGCCUAGGUACCUGGGUCACAUUUGGUUCUCAGAUCUCAGAUGAGACAGCAGAGGAUGUGCUGACUGUAGCCUAUGAGCAUGGUGUAAACCUGUUUGACACCGCUGAAGUGUACGCAGCAGGAAAGUAAGGACUGGGGUGAAAGAGCUAAGCUCCAUUUGGAAGGCUGAGAGGACCCCAGGGAUUAUCUUCUCGUUUUCCCUCUAAAGAACCCUGGGACUUCUGAGAACGUGAAGUUCCAACCCUUUGACGGAGGGACCCUAAAGCGUUGUAGGAGUUACAGUCCCAACAUUAGUCCCUCUCUGGCUUAGAAGUCAAUGGGCAUACUGUGCAGUUACAUUAA